CCGAGUUGUAAUUUGUAGAGGAUGCUUUUGGUGAGGUGCCGCCCGAGUUCCCUGGAACGGGACGCCACAGAGGGUGAGAGCCCCGUCUGGCUGGCCACCGAGCCUCUGUAAAGCUCCUUCGACGAGUCGAGUAGUUUGGGAAUGCUGCUCAAAAUGGGAGGUAUAUGUCUUCUAAAGCUAAAUAUUGGCCAGAGACCGAUAGCGCACAAGUAGAGUGAUCGAAAGAUGAAAAGCACCUUGAAAAGAGGGUUAAACAGUACGUGAAAUUGUUGAAAGGGAAGCGCUUGUGACCAGACUUGGGCGCGGCGAAUCAUCCGGGGUUCUCUCCGGUGCACUUCGCCGUGUUCAGGCCAGCAUCAGUUCGGCGCGGGGGAAAAAGGCUUCGGGAACGUGGCUGCUCCGGGAGUGUUAUACCCCGNUGCAUAAUACCCUGCGCUGGACUGAGGACCGCGCAUCUGC
RNAcentral lists this ribosomal RNA (459 nucleotides) under soil fungal sp. DM085. Its description in RNAcentral is "eukaryotic LSU rRNA". It matches the Rfam family "Eukaryotic large subunit ribosomal RNA", at positions 138 to 604 of the family's 3401-position model. Lineage: Eukaryota; Fungi. The record is from RNAcentral.